Molecule: ribosomal RNA, 1353 nt
Filed under: uncultured bacterium
Lineage: Bacteria
Description: bacterial SSU rRNA
Rfam family: Bacterial small subunit ribosomal RNA
Source: RNAcentral
AUUUUUCGCUGGCGGCAUGCCUUACACAUGCAAGUCGAACGGCAGCACGGAGCUUGCUCUGGUGGCGAGUGGCGAACGGGUGAGUAAUAUAUCGGAACGUACCCUAGAGUGGGGGAUAACGUAGCGAAAGUUACGCUAAUACCGCAUACGAUCUAAGGAUGAAAGUGGGGGAUCGCAAGACCUCAUGCUCGUGGAGCGGCCGAUAUCUGAUUAGCUAGUUGGUAGGGUAAAAGCCUACCAAGGCAUCGAUCAGUAGCUGGUCUGAGAGGACGACCAGCCACACUGGAACUGAGACACGGUCCAGACUCCUACGGGAGGCAGCAGUGGGGAAUUUUGGACAAUGGGCGAAAGCCUGAUCCAGCAAUGCCGCGUGAGUGAAGAAGGCCUUCGGGUUGUAAAGCUCUUUUGUCAGGGAAGAAACGGUGGGAGCUAAUAUCUCUUGCUAAUGACGGUACCUGAAGAAUAAGCACCGGCUAACUACGUGCCAGCAGCCGCGGUAAUACGUAGGGUGCAAGCGUUAAUCGGAAUUACUGGGCGUAAAGCGUGCGCAGGCGGCUUUGUAAGUCUGAUGUGAAAUCCCCGGGCUCCAACCUGGAAAUCCAUUGGAGACUCCAAGGCUAAAUUUUUGCCGAGGGGGGAGAAUUUCACGUGUAGCCAGGAAAAGGGGUAAAUAGUGGGAGGAACACCGUGGGCGAAGGCACCCCCCUGGUCAAGGAUUGACGUUCAUGCACGAAAGCGUGGGGGACCAAACAGGAAUAGAUACCCUGGUAGUUCACCCCCUAAACGAUGUAUACUAGUUGUCGGGUCUUAAUUGACUUGGUAACGCAGCUAACGCGUGAAGUAGACCGCUUGGGGAGUACGGUCGCAAGAUUAAAACUCAAAGGAAUUGACGGGGACCCGCACAAGCGGUGGAUGAUGUGGAUUAAUUAGAUGCAACGCGAAAAACCUUACCUACCCUUGACAUGGCUGGAAUCCUUGAGAGAUCAGGGAGUGCUCGAAAGAGAACCAGUACACAGGUGCUGCAUGGCUGUCGUCAGCUCGUGUCGUGAGAUGUUGGGUUAAGUCCCGCAACGAGCGCAACCCUUGUCAUUAGUUGAUACGAAAGGGCACUCUAAUGAGACUGCCGGUGACAAACCGGAGGAAGGUGGGGAUGACGUCAAGUCCUCAUGGCCCUUAUGGGUAGGGCUUCACACGUCAUACAAUGGUACAUACAGAGCGCCGCCAACCCGCGAGGGGGAGCUAAUCGCAGAAAGUGUAUCGUAGUCCGGAUUGUAGUCUGCAACUCGACUGCAUGAAGUUGGAAUCGCUAGUAAUCGCGGAUAAACAUGUCGCGGUGAAUACGUUCCCGGGUCU